CCUACGGGUGGCUGCAGUCGAGGAUCUUCGGCAAUGAGCGCAAGCUUGACCGAGCGACGCCGCGUGAGCGAUGAAGGCCUCCGGGUUGUAAAGCUCUUUAGGGGGGGAGAAAAGCCCGCAAGGGUGUGAUCUAUCCCCAAAAUAAGCACGGGCUAAGUUCGUGCCAGCAGCCGCGGUAAGACGAACCGUGCGAACGUUGUUCGGAAUCACUGGGCUUAAAGGGCGCGUAGGCGGGCUGUCAAGUCUGGGGUGAAAUGCCGCGGCUCAACCGUGGAACUGCCUUAGAUACUGACGGCCUCGAGGAAGGUAGGGGCAUGCGGAACUGUAGGUGGAGCGGUGAAAUGCGUUGAUAUCUACAGGAACUCCGGUGGCGAAAGCGGCGUGCUGGACCUUUUCUGACGCUGAGGCGCGAAAGCUAGGGGAGCAAACGGGAUUAGAUACCCGGGUAGUCG
Molecule: ribosomal RNA, 452 nt
Filed under: uncultured Gemmata sp.
Lineage: Bacteria; Pseudomonadati; Planctomycetota; Planctomycetia; Gemmatales; Gemmataceae
Description: bacterial SSU rRNA
Rfam family: Bacterial small subunit ribosomal RNA
Source: RNAcentral